GACGAACGCUGGCGGCGUGCUUAACACAUGCAAGUCGAACGGAAAGGCCCUGCUUUUGUGGGGUGCUCGAGUGGCGAACGGGUGAGUAACACGUGAGUAACCUGCCCUUGACUUUGGGAUAACUUCAGGAAACUGGGGCUAAUACCGGAUAGGAGCUCUUGCUGCAUGGUGGGGGUUGGCAAGUUUCGGCGGUUGUGGAUGGACUCGCGGCUGAUCAGCUUGUUGGUGGGGUAGUGGCUUACCAAGGCUUUGACGGGUAGCCGGCCUGAGAGGGUGACCGGCGAAAUUGGGACUGAGAUACGGCACAGACGCCUACGGGAGGCAGCAGUGGGGAAGAGUGCACAAGGGGCGGGAGCCUGAUGAAGCAAGGCCGCGGGCGGGAUGACGGCCUUGGGGUUGGAAACCGCUUUCAGCAGGGGCGAAGCUUGUGGUGACGGUACCUGAAGAAGAAGCACCGGCUAACUACGUG
This 469-nucleotide ribosomal RNA is filed under the name uncultured bacterium. Its description in RNAcentral is "partial 16S ribosomal RNA". It matches the Rfam family "Bacterial small subunit ribosomal RNA", at positions 28 to 507 of the family's 1533-position model. The record is from RNAcentral.